GGGGGAAGAAAAAAGAAGCUCAAGUUGUUUUGGAAGGUCAAUAGCAGCUCGCAGAGCAAUUCCAUCAAAUCGAUACUUUGGUUACUGAGCAUCUCAUUAUCCCCGACAUGGAUAUGACGCUCACGGCUUCGGGGAAGAGGGUACAUCGGGGGCCCCCCAUAGCAGCAACAACAGGGGUCCAGGAAAACCCGGCCUCUCCCCAGACACCGCAAAUGUGGUCAAACGGAGCUGGACUUGGUCAGAUGACUUUGUUUGAAUAAAAGUCUGAAUUGGAGAUUCUUUUGAAAUUUAUGAAGUUUUUCUCCCGGUAAGGACUUGGAUAAUAACAAGAAGCAGUUAUCCUAAGGAGCCCCGGGGACCUGUUUUACUGAAUAAGGAUGAUGUGCAAUUAGGCCAGCAAUUGUCACUAAGUGUUUCCGAGGGCUUGAAGUCUCGCGUUCUCAAGCAGUCCCAAUAUCAAGUUCACGUGAAGGAUCCUGGGGCCCUGCACUGCCUCGGUCAACCCUGUUGUGCGCUGGGAGGUGAAGAGGCACAAGAAUAAUGAAUAGUACAUAUCAGCUACUUGCUAAAGGAAACAAAUUUCAAAAUAGGAAACAACGACAACAACAAAAACCCCCGAACACAUGCUAAGUAAGUACAUUAGGAUACAUAGGAAUUAGAGAAAUACUCAGCUCAGGGUUCCUUUACAUAGGAGGUCCCAGGCCUGCCUGUGUUUCUUUGUAGAUCAUUAAUUACUUUGCAAAGGAGUUGGGGUACAGAGGCCCCCUGGCCUGAGCACGGGAACUGAAGAUCAAUGGGAACGUGAUUAGAGGGGUUUUAGGAAGUAGGCGUGCUCUUUUCAAAGCAUCCCGGCUCCCUUUUUUCUCCCCACGGUUUCCAGAGCCCAUUCCAUCCCCUUUGAAUCCGACUUAGUCAGUACAAGACACGAGACACACAGGCGCGUCCCUUCAGCCGGUCUUGCCUCCCUGUGUAGCCAACAGCCCGGCCACCCUGUGGUCCAUCGCAGGGACCGGACCAAGGUGCCGUCCUACACAGCUGGACGAGAGGGCCCUCUGCAGCUCUUUUGAGGAUGCGGGCUGGCUGGAGCCGAAACUAACUGGGCAUCUCAGCAAAGCUCCCGCCGCCUCUGCUGCAGCUGACAGAGAGCGGUGGACACGUCAGCCCGAGCGUCCAGACUGCGGGGAGAACGUCAGGGCUCACUGAAGGUUGGGCUGUCCGGUCUGCGAUGAGUGACCACUCCAAGGGGCACACUUGUCCAUGGCGGAAUGUUCCAGGGGGCAUUUCUCCCACCUGCCUUUCUUUCUCAGAUCGCCCCCACUCGCGCCCGAAUUCUGGACCCUUGUUGACUGCCCACCGGGAAAACUCCGCACCUUGACUGAUGAUCAAUCAGCAUUUACCAGGUGACGCGGGGACGGGAGAAAAAAGGAAAAUGCCUUCCCACCCUCCCUCUCCACCACGGCACACGGCAGCAGGAGUCUCUCCUUCCGACGGUAACGAGCCGUUUGCACUGACCACACUGAAUCAGCUGCAAGACAGCUGGUUCCAAAGGCCGCUGGCAGGAAAAGGAGAGAGCCUUUUAAACGCGUUCACACUGUUCCGAGUGCCUGGGCGCACGCACCGAGCCCGAGGGUUUCCUAGAACUCCCCCGGGCAGCACCAGCACGAAACCCAGAGGCCGGCGACGGGGCCUCUUUCCCCAGCACCGCCUCUUCAGUUCAUUCACGGAAACGCAGCGCCAGCGUUGGGAACGGGGGUCUUCGUGGAACUGCGUGCUGAGGUUUUCAUUCACAUCCUGUGUGAACAGAGCAGUCACGUGGCGACAGGCAGAGCUCUCCAGGGGGUUCUGAACGUCACCCUGGGCCAUGCUGGGUUUCCAGGGACCCUCUGCUCUGAAACUCCAGAGCACAGGUAUAGAACGUUAACACGAUGUGUGGCUGCCAUGUCCGUGUCAUCUCUUCUCUGACUUUUUUUGGGGGGGGGGGGGCACUGAAAAUGUAUCACCAGUCAGCCUCUAGAACACAUAAAGGUGUGUUCUCUGGGCUAAAGUCAAAUCUUAGUAACACAGCAAUUACAGUUUAAGAUAAACUAUCUCCUUGGUUUGUUUGUUUGUUUGUUUUUAAACAAAGAAUAUUGAGUGUGAUAUGGGACGAGAGGAUGAUCCCAGGCAGCCCUCUGGCCAGCCCUCAGCCCAGAGUCACACCACGGGGGACACGCCACCCCCCGGAGCGGCUCUGGGCACGUGAUCGCCUGUUCAGGUGCUCUGGCGCUUCCGAAACAUCCCUGUCAGCGGCAAAAUACAGCCCUCGCCUCGGUCUUUAUCACGCUGGUUGCCAGACAACUGCACAGAGCUGGAGUGGGGAAUGUUACAGCAAACACGUCCCUGAAACAUUUAUAGGUGUCAUUGAUAAACAAUAGGAAAUUUAAAAGAGAUACAAAUGUAUUCCUGGAACCUUAAAUCUUCCCCCCACCGGGGCCUAGGAACUUGCAGUCUCCGUGCACCUGGCGGGGAAGGAGGAAAACAAAUUCCAGAGGAAGUCUGCAGAUUUAUGCCCUAAAUAUGUCUUCCUCGAGAAUGUUUAACACACUUAAGCCUUAGUCAUUCCAUACACUUUGAAAACGCUCCGCGACAAUAAAUUAUAGUAGCUGCAUCUUUCAUUGCAAUUCACAUAAAUAUCAUUUUGCUUUCAGGAAACCAAUUAUAGAGUAGUAAAUCAUUUUUACAUUGCUUCCCCCAAAUCUUUAAUUCAAGUUGCAACAUGGACUGGAAUCGCAAUAAAAAUACAGCUUACGCAGUCGAUCCUUCAGUCUUCCACAUGGAGCAAGCCCA
This is a long non-coding RNA of Phyllostomus discolor (pale spear-nosed bat), 2826 nucleotides long. RefSeq lists it as uncharacterized. The transcript is spliced from 3 exons. The record is from RefSeq and is a predicted model, not a curated record. Lineage: Eukaryota; Metazoa; Chordata; Mammalia; Chiroptera; Phyllostomidae.